RNAcentral lists this long non-coding RNA (229 nucleotides) under Lathyrus oleraceus (garden pea). RNAcentral's name for it is "Pisum sativum (pea) long non-coding RNA (PSAT_LNC000132)". Lineage: Eukaryota; Viridiplantae; Streptophyta; Magnoliopsida; Fabales; Fabaceae. The record is from RNAcentral.
AUUUGUCAAUGAUGCUAACUGAGCUAUUCUGUUAGUUAGCUAGCUUACUAGUUAUGCAAUGCCACAACGCCUGCUUGUUUGACUUUGGCUUGAACUGAAAUGUUGGUGUUAAAAAUGUGCUUGUUUGAUUGUAAUGCCAUGAGUUCAAAUAACUUGGAUUGUUACUGCAAUAGUUUCUUUCUUUUAUACUUGUUGCACUUGUAUGUUUUGCCUAUGUUAAUUGCUCUGC